Molecule: long non-coding RNA, 589 nt
Filed under: Theobroma cacao (cacao)
Lineage: Eukaryota; Viridiplantae; Streptophyta; Magnoliopsida; Malvales; Malvaceae
Description: long non-coding RNA (TCAC_LNC002443)
Source: RNAcentral
GAAACUUCAACACCAGGCAUACUACUUUCUAAACCAUGCAUAGGAAAGCAUUGUUUUUGUUUCUUUUUUGGGUUUUCUUUCGCUUCAAAUUAAAUUGAACUCAAGCAAAUGAUUUAAUGAAAAAUGAAUGAAUAGAAACCAAGUAUGUGCAAUGUAUUUAUACAGAAGAGGAUAGAGAAAUGGAUGUAAAGGAAAGAUCCUGUGCCUAUGCCGUUGGUCCCAUGCAUCGUCCGAAAAGCACAGAGAUGCCACACCUUUGAACCUUGGGUGGAGAAUCAUUGUUUUCUGGUCUAGGAGGUACUUGAAAGUUGGUUGGUUGUAGGUGAAGAAUCUCUUCAUGUGGCGGAGAAAAAGUUUCCUCAGGGCUCCUAAUGCUUGGAAGGUUUCCCUCAAACCUUCUCUCCCCAGCUGCGGCAUUAGGCAAACCAGUUUUUGGGUCGAUUAUGUGGCGAUCAUUCCAUAUACGGCCUGAUGAACCUUGUCGCCGGAACGAGACAGAUGAUCUUUGCAAUGUUGUCAUUGAUCAGAAUUCUCUCUCUUCUUAAUUUUUCGUUGCUUGCUCUACUCUCUUGGCUAGUUUUAUCUUUUU